AAUUUUGGACAAUGGGGGAAACCCUGAUCCAGCGAUCCCGCGUGAAUGAUGAAGGCCUUCGGGUUGUAAAGUACUUUUGGCAGCGAAGAAAAGGUAUCCCCUAAUACGGGGUACUGCUGACGGUAUCUGCAGACUCAGCACCGCGCACAUACGCUCAAGCAGCCGCGGUAAUACGAAGGGUGCAAGCGUUAAGCGGAAUGACUGGGCGUAAAGCGUGUGUAGGCGGUUCGGAAAGAAAGAUGUGAAAUCCCAGGGCUCAACCUUGGAACUGCAUUGUUAACUGCCGAGCUAGAGUAUGUCAGAGGGGGGUAGAAUUCCACGUGUAGCAGUGAAAUGCGUAGAUAUGUGGAGGAAUACCGAUGGCGAAGGCAGCCCCCUGGGAUAAUACUGACGCUCAGACACGAAAGCGUGGGGAGCAAACAGG
RNAcentral lists this ribosomal RNA (424 nucleotides) under uncultured bacterium. RNAcentral describes it as "partial 16S ribosomal RNA". It matches the Rfam family "Bacterial small subunit ribosomal RNA", at positions 360 to 776 of the family's 1533-position model. The record is from RNAcentral.